CAGUCUAUACUGGGCUCCAGUCUGCUCCUUCUCCAUCUUCCUCCUCGUACUCCUGCAUGCUGUCUGCGUCCCCGUCAUACUCCUCUCCUCAUCUCACAGCUCCUCCUUCAGGCAACACCAGCACAGGUCUGAUUUCUCCAGGGGUUUCUGUACCUGUCCAGGUACCAGGAAAUGACCAAAACAUGUACUGGGCCAGACUGCAGUAAGAUUAGGGGAGGAAGAUCUUGCUUUAGAAUAUUAAAUAUUAAUGUUUACAAAAGGUAAAA
Long non-coding RNA from Rhinichthys klamathensis goyatoka, 266 nucleotides. RefSeq lists it as uncharacterized. NCBI's taxonomy places the organism in Eukaryota, Metazoa, Chordata, Actinopteri, Cypriniformes, Leuciscidae. The record is from RefSeq and is a predicted model, not a curated record. The transcript is spliced from 3 exons.